Onychostoma macrolepis is the source of this 1594-nucleotide long non-coding RNA. RefSeq lists it as uncharacterized. The record is from RefSeq and is a predicted model, not a curated record. NCBI's taxonomy places the organism in Eukaryota, Metazoa, Chordata, Actinopteri, Cypriniformes, Cyprinidae. The transcript has 3 exons.
UCUGGCGCCACCAUCUGUAGAACUCAGUGGCGUUGGUGCCACUGCUCUCAAAAGUUAGUCUGGAGCCCUGCUAUAUACAGGUGCAUCUCAAUAAAUUAGAAUGUUGUGGAAAAGUUCAUUUAUUUCAGUAAUUCAACUCAAAUUGUGAAACUCGUGUAUUAAAUAAAUUCAAUGCACAUAGACUGAAGUAGUUUAAGUCUUUGCUUCUUUUAAUUGUGAUGAUUUUGGCUCAUGUUUAACAAAAACCCACCAAUUCACUAUCUCAACAAAUUAGAAUAUGGUGACAUGCCAAUCAGCUAAUCAACUCAAAACACCUGCAAAGGUUUCCUGAGCCUUCAAAAUGGUCUCCCAGUUUGGUUCACUAGGCUACACAAUCAUGGGGAAGACUGUUGAUCUGACAGUUGUCCAGAAGACAAUCAUUGACACCCUUCACCCUUCAGGAGGGUAAGCCACAAACAUUCAUUGCCAAAGAAGCUGGCUGUUCACAGAGUGCUGUAUCCAAGCAUGUUAACAGAAAGUUGAGUGGAAGGAAAAAGUGUGGAAGAAAAAGAUGCACAACCAACCGAGAGAACCGCAACCUUAUGAGGAUUGUCAAGCAAAAUCGAGUCAAAAAUUUGGGUGAACUUCACAAGGAAUGGACUGAGGCUUUGUGCUGCUUUAUCCGACAAUAACGUGCAGGGUGUCAUAGAACUACAUUUAAAUAAAUUAAAUGUAUAGAUUUAAGUUAUUUAUUUAUGUAAUGUUCUAAUUUUAUAUGAUUAUUUAUGUAAAUUCUGCGUGACUGUGACGUGUUUUAAUGCGUGCGUGCUGAACAUUCGAGCCGCGUUGGUUCAAACACUGGAGUGGAGGGAGUUGCCAUGGAAACGGAGCGGCAACACAACGACUGACAAGCAGGAAGCUCCGUUUCUCGCUGCUGUUUUUACUGUUUUCGGUAAGUUUAGUCCCUAAAAUCUCACAAAUAUUAAAUACAGCUAUUCCUGACACCUCUCUUGCUUGUAUUUGACUCGUUUCUGGUGAAAUUAGUUAAUAGAAAUGGUUUAGUGUCUUCGAACAAGUCCGUUAGCAACUUAGCCGUUUUCAGAGGAUGUAGGCUAACUCCGUAGACUGAGCUCUUUUUGAAUGUUUGGGAUUUUAUUUACAUCUUUAUGUGUAGAUGAGAGGUUUUGACAGUUCUGUAAAAGUUUUGCUGGUAAUUUUUCAGUGGGUGAUUGGAAAUAGGCUCAUUUAUUUAACCUAAACAUAUAGCCUACACUGUACCGUUAAUCGGUGACGUCACUUACAUCAGCGGGACAAUUAACUGAAUCUAGUUCAAACGUAUUUUGAUCUCUCAUGGUCAACAAAUAUUGAUAAAAAACUGUUCUGUGAUUUCAGAAGAAAAACAAAAACACGGCAAGAUGGGAUGGCUCCAAGAUUUCACAAUUUCUGAAGGGAGCCGCAGACGGAGAAGUAAGGAACACAAGUGAACAGACUCAGAGCGGACCUCCUGUCGGACAACAUCUCCCAGGCACAAUGAACAAUAUGGUUGGUUACUAGAGAUUACACCAGUUCCAGUUUGGAUCCAGCCUGGCGUGUGAAGACUUCAGAUGACGCAAGC